Molecule: ribosomal RNA, 492 nt
Filed under: Triticum aestivum (bread wheat)
Lineage: Eukaryota; Viridiplantae; Streptophyta; Magnoliopsida; Poales; Poaceae
Description: partial small subunit ribosomal RNA
Source: RNAcentral
AUGGGCGCGUACAAGUUCGUGUCGGAGCUAUGCAGGAGGAAGCAGUCGGACGUGAUGAGGUUCGUGCAGCGCAGGGCUCUCGGCUCCCAGGCCAAGCAGCUUGGCAAGCCUAUUGAGGAGACCAAGGAAGAUGUGUACCCGAGGACCCACAAGUCGCCUGCCAAGAUACGCAUAAUUUUGAAAUCUUUCAAUAACCAGAAGAACAAUCUGAAGGAGCUUGCGCCAUACAUGCAUAAGGUCGGGCUGCCUGAAUCGCGGUCCUUAUACACCGUGCUGCGAUCACCUCAUAUUGAUAAGAAAUCCAGGGAGCAAUUCUCAACGCAUGUGAAGAAAGUGUUUGUGGAGAAAACAGCGGAGACGCAUGAACUGGCCAAGAAGUUCUUCUGGUUGAAACGGCUUCGUAUGUUGGGGGCUCAGUACGAAGUCGUUAUUAAUUUCAAGACACGCUUGGGUAAAAAGAUUGGCUGCAGCAAAGGUGGUGACCUGCUUUGA